GACGAACGCUGGCGGCGUGCUUAACACAUGCAAGUCGAACGGAAAGGCCCUGCUUUUGUGGGGUGCUCGAGUGGCGAACGGGUGAGUAACACGUGAGUAACCUGUCCUUGACUUUGGGAUAACUUCAGGAAACUGGGGCUCAUACCGGAUAGGAGCUCCUGCUGCAUGGUGGGGGUUGGAAAGUUUCGGCGGUUGGGGAUGGACUCGCGGCUUAUCAGCUUGUUGGUGGGGUAGUGGCUUACCAAGGCUUUGACGGGUAGCCGGCCUUAGAGGGUGACCGGCCACAUUGGGACUGAGAUACGGCCCAGACUCCUACGGGAGGCAGCAGUGGGGAAUAUUGCACAAUGGGCGGAAGCCUGAUGCAGCAACGCCGCGUGCGGGAUGACGUCCUUCGGGUUGUAAACCGCUUUCGCCUGUGACGAAGCGUGAGUGACGGUAAUGGGUAAAGAAGCACCGGCUAACUACGUG
This 468-nucleotide ribosomal RNA is filed under the name uncultured bacterium. RNAcentral describes it as "partial 16S ribosomal RNA". It matches the Rfam family "Bacterial small subunit ribosomal RNA", at positions 28 to 507 of the family's 1533-position model. The record is from RNAcentral.